Molecule: ribosomal RNA, 508 nt
Filed under: uncultured bacterium
Lineage: Bacteria
Description: partial 16S ribosomal RNA
Rfam family: Bacterial small subunit ribosomal RNA
Source: RNAcentral
AUUGAACGCUGGCGGCAGGCCUAACACAUGCAAGUUGAGCGGCAGCGGGAAAGUAGCUUGCUACUUUUGCCGGCGAGCGGCGGACGGGUGAGUAAUGCCUGGGAAAUUGCCCAGUCGAGGGGGAUAACAGUUGGAAACGACUGCUAAUACCGCAUACGCCCUACGGGGGAAAGCAGGGGGCCUUCGGGCCUUGCGCGAUUGGAUAUGGCCAGGUGGGAUUAGCUAGUUGGUGAGGUAAUGGCUCACCAAGGCGACGAUCCCUAGCUGGUCUGAGAGGAUGAUCAGCCACACUGGAACUGAGACACGGUCCAGACUCCUACGGGAGGCAGCAGUGGGGAAUAUUGCACAAUGGGGGAAACCCUGAUGCAGCCAUGCCGCGUGUGUGAAGAAGGCCUUCGGGUUGUAAAGCACUUUCAGCGAGGAGGAAAGGUUGAUGCCUAAUACGUAUCAACUGUGACGUUACUCGCAGAAGAAGCACCGGCUAACUCCGUGCCAGCCGCCGCCGUAA